This is a long non-coding RNA of Microtus oregoni (creeping vole), 499 nucleotides long. RefSeq lists it as uncharacterized. The transcript has 4 exons. The record is from RefSeq and is a predicted model, not a curated record. Lineage: Eukaryota; Metazoa; Chordata; Mammalia; Rodentia; Cricetidae.
AUUCCCUGGACCUUCUAGUCUAGAAUCUCCCAGAGCUAGUGACCUGACCCAGCCCCUCCCUCUUUUGUACAAAUACUCCCCUGGGGGAGACAGAGCCUCAGCCUUGCUGUCCCUGGCUCUGCACUCUCAGGUGUUGCGUGUGUCACUUCCUGCACUUGCCCCAUAAAGAUGGAUCCAGGUCACAAGGGUCCGUCCCCUCCUCAUGGUCCACCACCCCCUGGUCCUGGGGGACCCCCACAUCCAGGACCUGCUUGCCCAGCCCCUGGCCAUGGUCCUGGGGGACCUCCCCCUCCAGGACCUGCUUGCCCAGCCCGUGGCCAUGGCCCCGGGCACCCUGGUCCUCACCAUCCCCAUAGCCCCGGACACACUGGUCCUCAUCACUGAGAAAUGAGAAGACAAGAGGACACAAGAUGAGGAAGCUACACAGAACCCCCAGCUGACCCAGCUCCCAGACUUACCCAGAAUUUUCCUUUCCAAAUAAAUAGACUUCUGUAUGCCA